Molecule: ribosomal RNA, 433 nt
Filed under: uncultured bacterium
Lineage: Bacteria
Description: partial 16S ribosomal RNA
Rfam family: Bacterial small subunit ribosomal RNA
Source: RNAcentral
AAUGAACGCUGGCGGCAUGCCUAACACAUGCAAGUCGAACGAAGGCUUCGGCCUUAGUGGCGCACGGGUGCGUAACGCGUGGGAAUCUGCCCUUGGGUUCGGAAUAACAGUUAGAAAUGACUGCUAAUACCGGAUGAUGUCGUAAGACCAAAGAUUUAUCGCCCAAGGAUGAGCCCGCGUAGGAUUAGCUAGUUGGUGGGGUAAAGGCCUACCAAGGCGACGAUCCUUAGCUGGUCUGAGAGGAUGAUCAGCCACACUGGGACUGAGACACGGCCCAGACUCCUACGGGAGGCAGGAGUGGAGAAUAUUGGACAAUGGGCGAAAGCCUGAUCCAGCAAUGCCGCGUGAGUGAUGAAGGGCUUAGGGUUGUAAAGCUCUUUUACCCGGGAUGAUAAUGACAGUACCGGGAGAAUAAGCACCGGCUAACUUCGUG